UACGUAGGGUGCAAGCGUUGUCCGGAAUUAUUGGGCGUAAAGAGCUCGUAGGCGGUCUGUCGCGUCGGCUGUGAAAACCCGAGGCUCAACCUCGGGCCUGCAGUCGAUACGGGCAAACUAGAGUACUGCAGGGGAGACUGGAAUUCCUGGUGUAGCGGUGAAAUGCGCAGAUAUCAGGAGGAACACCGGUGGCGAAGGCGGGUCUCUGGGCAGUAACUGACGCUGAGGAGCGAAGGCGUGGGGAGCGAACAGG
RNAcentral lists this ribosomal RNA (253 nucleotides) under uncultured bacterium. RNAcentral's name for it is "partial 16S ribosomal RNA". It matches the Rfam family "Bacterial small subunit ribosomal RNA", at positions 524 to 776 of the family's 1533-position model. The record is from RNAcentral.